This 70-nucleotide transfer RNA is filed under the name Cobelura sp. KM-2017. RNAcentral's name for it is "tRNA-Val". Lineage: Eukaryota; Metazoa; Arthropoda; Insecta; Coleoptera; Cerambycidae. The record is from RNAcentral.
CAGAUUAGAUCUUGAUAUAAGAAUUUUAUUUACAUUAAAAUGAUAAUUGUUUAAAUGCAAUUUAAUUUGA